CAACGUAGGGCAGACGGUCGCUGGAACCCUUAGAGGGUUCUGGAGGAAAGUCCGAACACCGCAGGGCAGGGUGCUCCAUAACGUGGAGUCGUGGUAACGCGAAGGAAAGUGCAACAGAAAAUACACCGCCUGCCUGAACCUCUUUCGAGAGGCGAGGGCCGGUAAGGGUGAAAUGGUGCGGUAAGAGCGCACCAGUCUUCCGGGUGACCGGAGGGCUUGGCAAACCCCACCCGGUGCAAGACCAAAUAAGGAAGCGUCUGAGGGCUGCCCGUCCGAGCUUCCGGGUAGGUCGCUUGAGGUGCCGGGCAACCGGCAUCCCAGAGGAAUGACCGUCGUUCCGCUUCGGGUAACCGGCGCGGAAAACAGAAUUCGGCUUAUGAACUGCGUUGGCCU
RNAcentral lists this RNase P RNA (393 nucleotides) under Desulfatirhabdium butyrativorans. RNAcentral's name for it is "RNase P RNA component class A". It matches the Rfam family "Bacterial RNase P class A". Rfam says of the family: Ribonuclease P (RNase P) is a ubiquitous endoribonuclease, found in archaea, bacteria and eukarya as well as chloroplasts and mitochondria. Lineage: Bacteria; Pseudomonadati; Thermodesulfobacteriota; Desulfobacteria; Desulfobacterales; Desulfatirhabdiaceae. The record is from RNAcentral.